CUCAAGGGGCCUCUAUGUGGCAGCUCUGAGCUAUUAAGCCUCAGCCACCCUUAGGGGAACUAUGCAAUGGAGCAGGGCAGAAAGUGCCACUAACUUCAGGAAACUCUUGCUUUCUGACGGUCUUCAGGGAUUUUCACCAUAUUGCUGGCAACACAAAGUGUCUAUUAUUGACACUCUUCAUAAUAAAGCUGAUAGGAUCUUGACCCAGACUUCAGAAAAGAAUAUAUAACUCAAUAUGCUGGUGGAAAAAUCCCCUUGGAAUUAAGAACAAGAUUUUCUAAUUUAAUUUUAAAAUGUUACGUACUUCCAUUCCAAUAUAUUUGCUUUGCUUUCUAUUGGUGUACAUUG
This 348-nucleotide long non-coding RNA is filed under the name Pogona vitticeps (central bearded dragon). RNAcentral describes it as "lncRNA (ENSPVIG00000014566.1)". The record is from RNAcentral. Lineage: Eukaryota; Metazoa; Chordata; Lepidosauria; Squamata; Agamidae.